This 460-nucleotide ribosomal RNA is filed under the name uncultured bacterium. RNAcentral describes it as "partial 16S ribosomal RNA". It matches the Rfam family "Bacterial small subunit ribosomal RNA", at positions 338 to 795 of the family's 1533-position model. The record is from RNAcentral.
CCUACGGGUGGCAGCAGUGAGGAAUAUUGGUCAAUGGACGAGCGUCUGAACCAGCCAAGUAGCGUGAAGGAUGACUGCCCUCUGGGUUGUAAACUUCUUUUAUAUGGGAAUAAAAUGUUCCACGUGUGGGAUUUUGUAUGUACCCUAUGAAUAAGGAUCGGCUAACUCCGUGCCAGCAGCCGCGGUAAUACGGAGGAUCCGAGCGUUAUCCGGAUUUGUUGGGUUUAAAGGGAGCGUAGGUGGAUUGUUAAGUCAGUUGUGAAAGUUUGCGGCUCAACCGUAAAAUUGCAGUUGAAACUGGCAGUCGUGAGUACAGUAGAGGUGGGCGGAAUUCGUGGUGUAGCGGUGAAAUGCUUAGAUAUCACGAAGAACUCCGAUUGCGAAGGCAGCUCACUGGACUGCAACUGACACUGAGGCUCGAAAGUGUGGGUAUCAAACAGGAUUAGAUACCCCUGUAGUC